Molecule: ribosomal RNA, 429 nt
Filed under: Verrucomicrobiota bacterium
Lineage: Bacteria; Pseudomonadati; Verrucomicrobiota
Description: Verrucomicrobia bacterium partial 16S ribosomal RNA
Rfam family: Bacterial small subunit ribosomal RNA
Source: RNAcentral
UAGGGAAUCUUCCGCAAUGGACGAAAGUCUGACGGAGCAACGCCGCGUGAGUGAAGAAGGAUUUCGGUUCGUAAAACUCUGUUGUUAGGGAAGAAAAAAUGUAUAGUAACUAUAUACAAAAGAGACGGUACCUAACCAGAAAGCCACGGCUAACUACGUGCCAGCAGCCGCGGUAAUACGUAGGUGGCAAGCGUUGUCCGGAAUUAUUGGGCGUAAAGCGCGCGCAGGUGGUUUAGAAAGUCUGAUGUGAAAGCCCACGGCUCAACCGUAGAAGGUCAGAGGAAACUAAUAAACGUGACUGCAGGAGAGAGAAGUGGAAAUCCUAGUGGAGCGGUGAAAGGCGGAGAGAGUAGGAAGAACUCCGAUGUCGAGUGCGGCUUGAGGACCUGAAACUAGCACAGAGGCGCGAAAGCGUAGGGAGCAAACAGG